This is a small nucleolar RNA of Perognathus longimembris pacificus (Pacific pocket mouse), 129 nucleotides long. RefSeq annotates it as small nucleolar RNA SNORA11. The transcript has a single exon. The record is from RefSeq and is a predicted model, not a curated record. Lineage: Eukaryota; Metazoa; Chordata; Mammalia; Rodentia; Heteromyidae.
GGAGUGUGCUCACAGCAAAGGAUCCAUAGAAUGACUCCUCUAUAUACAAACCAUUUAACAGCAAUCUGGGGCCACUGUGAUGAAUGGCACAACACUUAUAGCUUCUGUGUGUGCAAAGGCCCCCCCAAA